GCUGGGCAUGGUGGCGCAUGCCUGUAAUCCCAGCUACUCAGGAAGCUGAGGCAGGAGAAUCACUUGAACCCAGGAGGCUGAGGUUGUAGUGAGCCGAGAUUGCGCCAUUGCACUCCAGCCUGGGUAACAAGAGCGAAACUCUGUCUCAA
This is an unclassified non-coding RNA of Callithrix jacchus (white-tufted-ear marmoset), 149 nucleotides long. It matches the Rfam family "Metazoan signal recognition particle RNA". From Rfam's summary of the family: The signal recognition particle (SRP) is a universally conserved ribonucleoprotein. The record is from Ensembl. NCBI's taxonomy places the organism in Eukaryota, Metazoa, Chordata, Mammalia, Primates, Cebidae.